This 734-nucleotide ribosomal RNA is filed under the name uncultured Enterobacteriaceae bacterium. RNAcentral describes it as "bacterial SSU rRNA". It matches the Rfam family "Bacterial small subunit ribosomal RNA", at positions 767 to 1502 of the family's 1533-position model. The record is from RNAcentral. Lineage: Bacteria; Pseudomonadati; Pseudomonadota; Gammaproteobacteria; Enterobacterales; Enterobacteriaceae.
AGCAAACAGGAUUAGAUACCCUGGUAGUCACGCUGUAAACGAUGUCGAUUUGGAGUUUGUUGCCUAGAGUGAUGGGCUCCGAAGCUAACGCGAUAAAUCGACCGCCUGGGGAGUACGGCCGCAAGGUUAAAACUCAAAUGAAUUGACGGGGGCCCGCACAAGCGGUGGAGCAUGUGGUUUAAUUCGAUGCAACGCGAAGAACCUUACCUGGUCUUGACAUCCAUAGAAUUCUGCAGAGAUGUGGGAGUGCCUUCGGGAACUAUGAGACAGGUGCUGCAUGGCUGUCGUCAGCUCGUGUUGUGAAAUGUUGGGUUAAGUCCCGCAACGGGCGCAACCCUUAUUCUUUGUUGCCAGCGAUUUGGUCGGGAACUCAAAGGAGACUGCCGUUGAUAAAGCGGAGGAAGGUGGGGACGACGUCAAGUCAUCAUGGCCCUUACGACCAGGGCUACACACGUGCUACAAUGGCGUAUACAAAGGGAAGCGAAGGUGCGAGCUGGAGCGGAUCUCAUAAAGUACGUCUAAGUUCGGAUUGGAGUCUGCAACUCGACUCCAUGAAGUCGGAAUCGCUAGUAAUCGUAGAUCAGAAUGCUACGGUGAAUACGUUCCCGGGCCUUGUACACACCGCCCGUCACACCAUGGGGGUGGGUUGCACCAGAAGUAGAUAGCUUAACCGCGAGGGGGGCGUUUACCACGGUGUGAUUCAUGACUGGGGUGAAGUCGUAACAAGGUAACCA